RNAcentral lists this unclassified non-coding RNA (260 nucleotides) under Hevea brasiliensis (rubber tree). Lineage: Eukaryota; Viridiplantae; Streptophyta; Magnoliopsida; Malpighiales; Euphorbiaceae. The record is from RNAcentral.
CAAGGAUAACAACUUCGGCUGCGACGAGUUCCCGUCGGCGGCCUUCAAGACCAAGCCCGGAGCCCUCCCCAAUUUUCUCCUCAUCGAUCGCGGAGAGUGCGUUUUUGCUAAGAAGGUUUGGAAUGCACAGAAUGCUGGCGCUUCAGCAGUACUUGUUAUAGAUGACCGCGAUGAGCCAUUGAUAACCAUGGACUUGCCGCGAGAAGAUGACGAAGCUGCACACUAUAUUCAAAACAUUACUAUUCCCUCUGCUCUUAUUG